This 974-nucleotide ribosomal RNA is filed under the name Alteromonas sp. RNAcentral describes it as "bacterial SSU rRNA". It matches the Rfam family "Bacterial small subunit ribosomal RNA", at positions 54 to 1025 of the family's 1533-position model. The record is from RNAcentral. Lineage: Bacteria; Pseudomonadati; Pseudomonadota; Gammaproteobacteria; Alteromonadales; Alteromonadaceae.
CAUGCAAGUCGAACGGUAACAUUUCUAGCUUGCUAGAAGAUGACGAGUGGCGGACGGGUGAGUAAUGCUUGGGAACUUGCCUUUGCGAGGGGGAUAACAGUUGGAAACGACUGCUAAUACCGCAUAAUGUCUUCGGACCAAACGGGGCUUCGGCUCCGGCGCAAAGAGAGGCCCAAGUGAGAUUAGCUAGUUGGUAAGGUAACGGCUUACCAAGGCGACGAUCUCUAGCUGUUCUGAGAGGAAGAUCAGCCACACUGGGACUGAGACACGGCCCAGACUCCUACGGGAGGCAGCAGUGGGGAAUAUUGCACAAUGGGGGAAACCCUGAUGCAGCCAUGCCGCGUGUGUGAAGAAGGCCUUCGGGUUGUAAAGCACUUUCAGUUGUGAGGAAAAGUUAGUAGUUAAUACCUGCUAGCCGUGACGUUAACAACAGAAGAAGCACCGGCUAACUCCGUGCCAGCAGCCGCGGUAAUACGGAGGGUGCGAGCGUUAAUCGGAAUUACUGGGCGUAAAGCGCACGCAGGCGGUUUGUUAAGCUAGAUGUGAAAGCCCCGGGCUCAACCUGGGAUGGUCAUUUAGAACUGGCAGACUAGAGUCUUGGAGAGGGGAGUGGAAUUCCAGGUGUAGCGGUGAAAUGCGUAGAUAUCUGGAGGAACAUCAGUGGCGAAGGCGACUCCCUGGCCAAAGACUGACGCUCAUGUGCGAAAGUGUGGGUAGCGAACAGGAUUAGAUACCCUGGUAGUCCACACCGUAAACGCUGUCUACUAGCUGUGUGUGCCUUUAAGGCGUGCGUAGCGAAGCUAACGCGCUAAGUAGACCGCCUGGGGAGUACGGCCGCAAGGUUAAAACUCAAAUGAAUUGACGGGGGCCCGCACAAGCGGUGGAGCAUGUGGUUUAAUUCGAUGCAACGCGAAGAACCUUACCUACACUUGACAUGCUGAGAAGUUACUAGAGAUAGUUUCGUGCCUUCGGGA